CAUUAGCUCACUAAGUCCUUACAUUGCAGGUAACGAUGAGUAGGGCAAGCUGGCGCCAAGUCCUAACCAAGACGAAGUGCAUAUGGGCAUAACUGACCUUGGGAUUUUAUGAUGGGCUCAGCUUUGUGUUAAUAAAAAUAAGUAUCUUGGCUUUAUGUAAUAAUUAUGUUUUUAAAUAAACUAAGAAAUCUCUAUAUGACUCUUACUUUUCUGUAAUAAGUUUUGUUGGAUUGUGC
This 236-nucleotide long non-coding RNA is filed under the name Citrus sinensis (sweet orange). RNAcentral's name for it is "long non-coding RNA (CSIN_LNC005188)". Lineage: Eukaryota; Viridiplantae; Streptophyta; Magnoliopsida; Sapindales; Rutaceae. The record is from RNAcentral.